ACCUCACUGAUGAGUCUUACGUAGACGAAACGCGCGUCUGGCGU
This 44-nucleotide non-coding RNA is filed under the name Mytilus galloprovincialis (Mediterranean mussel). The record is from RNAcentral. Lineage: Eukaryota; Metazoa; Mollusca; Bivalvia; Mytilida; Mytilidae.